This 481-nucleotide ribosomal RNA is filed under the name uncultured bacterium. Its description in RNAcentral is "partial 16S ribosomal RNA". It matches the Rfam family "Bacterial small subunit ribosomal RNA", at positions 28 to 507 of the family's 1533-position model. The record is from RNAcentral.
GACGAACGUUGGCGGCGUGCUUAAUACAUGCAAGUCCACUGAAGCAGUGGUAGCAAUAUCGCUGUGGAGGUGGCGCACGGGUGAGUAACACGUAGGUAAUCUGCCUUCAGGUCUGGCAUAACUCCGGGAAACCGGGGCUAAUAGCAGAUGAUGCAGCGGCUCGACAUCGAGACAGUUGUUAAAGCUAUGGCGCCUGAAGAUGAGCCUGCGUCUGAUUAGCUAGUUGGCGGGGUAACGGCCCACCAAGGCAACGAUCAGUAGCUGGUCUGAGAGGAUGAUCAGCCACACUGGAACUGAGACACGGUCCAGACUCCUACGGGAGGCAGCAGUAAGGAAUAUUGCUCAAUGGGAGAAAUACUGAAGCAGCAACGCCGCGUGAGGGACGAAGGGCUUUUGCUUGUAAACCUCUGUAGUGAGAGAAAAAAAUCCCAAUCUUUGGGACAUGAUGGUAUCUCAAAAGUAAGCCCCGGCUAACUACGUG